UACCAGCACCCCGAGUGGUCGGGACGAUUAUUGGGCCUAAAGCAUCCGUAGCCGGUUUUACAAGUCCUCCGUUAAAUCCAGCUGCUUAACAGAUGGGCUGCGGAGGAUACUAUAAGACUAGGAGGCAGGAGAGGCAAGCGGUACUCAGUGGGUAGGGGUAAAAACCGUUGAUCCAUUGAAGACCACCAGUGGCGAAGGCGGCUUGCCAGAAUGCGCUCGACGGUGAGGGAUGAAAGCUGGGGGAGCAAACCGG
RNAcentral lists this ribosomal RNA (253 nucleotides) under uncultured bacterium. Its description in RNAcentral is "partial 16S ribosomal RNA". It matches the Rfam family "Archaeal small subunit ribosomal RNA", at positions 474 to 727 of the family's 1478-position model. The record is from RNAcentral.